ACCGCUUCUCGGCCUUUGGGCUAAGAUCAAGUGUAGUAUCUGUUCUUAUCAGUCUAAUAUCUGAUACAUCCUCUAUCUGAGGAAAAUAUAUUGAAUGGAUUUUUGAAGCAGGGAGAUGGAAUAGGAGCUUGCUCCAUCCACUCCAUGCAUCUACCUGGUAUUGCAGUUUCUCCAGGAAUGGCGCACCCUCU
Echinops telfairi (small Madagascar hedgehog) is the source of this 191-nucleotide small nuclear RNA. Its record names the gene U2. It matches the Rfam family "U2 spliceosomal RNA". From Rfam's summary of the family: U2 is a small nuclear RNA (snRNA) component of the spliceosome (involved in pre-mRNA splicing). Complementary binding between U2 snRNA (in an area lying towards the 5' end but 3' to hairpin I) and the branchpoint sequence (BPS) of the intron results the bulging out of an unpaired adenosine, on the BPS, which initiates a nucleophilic attack at the intronic 5' splice site, thus starting the first of two transesterification reactions that mediate splicing. Lineage: Eukaryota; Metazoa; Chordata; Mammalia; Afrosoricida; Tenrecidae. The record is from Ensembl.